Molecule: ribosomal RNA, 468 nt
Filed under: uncultured bacterium
Lineage: Bacteria
Description: partial 16S ribosomal RNA
Rfam family: Bacterial small subunit ribosomal RNA
Source: RNAcentral
GACGAACGCUGGCGGCGUGCUUAACACAUGCAAGUCGAACGGAAAGGCCCUGCUUUUGUGGGGUGCUCGAGUGGCGAACGGGUGAGUAACACGUGAGUAACCUGCCCUUGACUUUGGGAUAACUUCAGGAAACUGGGGCUAAUACCGGAUAGGAGCUCCUGCUGCAUGGUGGGGGUUGGAAAGUUUCGGCGGUUGGGGAUGGACUCGCGGCUUAUCAGCUUGUUGGUGGGGUAGUGGCUUACCAAGGCUUUGACGGGUAGCCGGCCUGAGAGGGUGACCGGCCACAUUGGGACUGAGAUACGGCCCAGACUCCUACGGGAGGCAGCAGUGGGGAAUAUUGCACAAUGGGCGGAAGCCUGAUGCAGCAACGCCGCGUGCGGGAUGGCGGCCUUCGGGUUGUAAACCACUUUCGCCUGUGACGAAGCGUGAGUGACGGUAAUGGGUAAAGAAGCACCGGCUAACUACGUG